UACGUAGGGGGCGAGCGUUGUCCGGAGUUACUGGGCGUAAAGGGCGUGCAGGCGGUGCGGUAAGUUUAGCGUGACAGUCUCCGGCUUAACUGGAGAAGGCCGCUGAAAACUGCUGGACUUGAGGGCCAGAGAGGGACAUAGAAUCCGGGUGGAGUGGUGAAAUGCGUAGAUAUCCGGAGGAAUACCAAAGGCGAAGGCAGUGUCCUGGCUGGCAACUGACGCUGAGGCGCGAAAGCUAGGGGAGCGAACAGG
This 252-nucleotide ribosomal RNA is filed under the name uncultured bacterium. RNAcentral describes it as "partial 16S ribosomal RNA". It matches the Rfam family "Bacterial small subunit ribosomal RNA", at positions 524 to 776 of the family's 1533-position model. The record is from RNAcentral.